UACGUAGGCAGCAAGCGUUGUUCGGAGUUACUGGGCGUAAAGGGUGCGUAGGCGGCUUUUUAAGUCUGGUGUGAAAUCUCCCGGCUCAACUGGGAGGGUGCGCCGGAUACUGAGGGGCUAGAGUGUGGGGAGAGGAAAGUGGAAUUCCUGGUGUAGCGGUGAAAUGCGUAGAUAUCAAGUGGAACACCAGUGGCGAAGGCGAGUCCCUGGACAACUCCUGACACUGAGGCACGAAAGCUAGGGGAGCAAACAGG
Molecule: ribosomal RNA, 254 nt
Filed under: uncultured bacterium
Lineage: Bacteria
Description: partial 16S ribosomal RNA
Rfam family: Bacterial small subunit ribosomal RNA
Source: RNAcentral